Long non-coding RNA from Prunus persica (peach), 670 nucleotides. RefSeq lists it as uncharacterized. Lineage: Eukaryota; Viridiplantae; Streptophyta; Magnoliopsida; Rosales; Rosaceae. The transcript is spliced from 2 exons. The record is from RefSeq and is a predicted model, not a curated record.
UCUCAAUUUCUGGUUUUUGAAGGUCUUGACCGAUUUGGAAAGAGUUGCAGUUUAAGAUGGAUGAACUAUCUUAGACCCAAUAUUAAGAGAUAUCAGAGCAAGAAGAAGACUUGAUACUUAGGCUUCAAAGGCUCCUUGGAAACAUCUAUUGAAUUAAGGUGGUCAUUGAUGUUGGAAGGCUACCAGGUAGAACCUACAAUGAGAUUAAGAAUGACUGGAACUCCCAUUUGAGCAAAAAGAUGAAGCAGAGAGAAAGACAAAACAGAGCAGUCUCAAAAGCAGAACAAGAGUCCUCUGACACAAAGAAUAUUAAGGUAAUGGAGGUGAAUGCUCUGACAAUUGGAAGAGAAGAUGUCUCCAAAUGCAAGGAUAGCUUCAAGUCUGGCUUUAAUGAGAUGAGUUUUUUGACUGCUCAAGUGAUGAAGCGCCUUUGAACUUGGAGUGGACUGUGGAUGAAUCAAUUCCUUGAAAUGGAUGAGAGUUGGUUUACCUUGUUCCUUUCUUUUUUCCCCUUCUCUUUUUCUGGUUUCAUGAUACUUCUUAUUAUUGCGUUUGAGGCCUUUUGCUCAUUCUAGGAAAUUCCCACUUCGUGUUUGUUCCUUCUGUUUUUAUUUUCCACUCCGUGAGGUUUUUUUUCCUUGAAUUAACAAAUCAUAUGUUGGUGUGUCAA